This 89-nucleotide transfer RNA is filed under the name Bacteroidota bacterium. RNAcentral describes it as "Bacteroidetes bacterium tRNA-Ser". It matches the Rfam family "tRNA". From Rfam's summary of the family: Transfer RNA (tRNA) molecules are approximately 80 nucleotides in length. The record is from RNAcentral. Lineage: Bacteria; Pseudomonadati; Bacteroidota. RNAcentral also lists the same sequence under 2 other names.
GGUGAGAUGGGUGAGUGGCUGAAACCAACAGUUUGCUAAACUGUCAUAUUCCGAAAGGGGUAUCGAGGGUUCGAAUCCCUCUCUCACCG